UGGAUGAUGUGGAUUAAUUCGAUGCAACGCGAAAACCUUACCUACCCUUGACAUGUCCGGAAUCCCGAAGAGAUUUGGGAGUGCUCGCAAGAGAACCGGAACACAGGUGCUGCAUGGCUGUCGUCAGCUCGUGUCGUGAGAUGUUGGGUUAAGUCCCGCAACGAGCGCAACCCUUGUCAUUAGUUGCCAUCAUUUGGUUGGGCACUCUAAUGAGACUGCCGGUGACAAACCGGAGGAAGGUGGGGAUGACGUCAAGUCCUCAUGGCCCUUAUGGGUAGGGCUUCACACGUCAUACAAUGGUCGGUACAGAGGGUUGCCAACCCGCGAGGGGGAGCCAAUCCCAUAAAGCCAGUCGUAGUCCGGAUCGUAGUCUGCAGCUCGACUACGUGAAGUCGGAAUCGCUAGUAAUCGUGGAUCAGAAUGUCACGGUGAAUACGUUCCCGGGUCUU
Molecule: ribosomal RNA, 449 nt
Filed under: uncultured Rhodocyclaceae bacterium
Lineage: Bacteria; Pseudomonadati; Pseudomonadota; Betaproteobacteria; Rhodocyclales; Rhodocyclaceae
Description: bacterial SSU rRNA
Rfam family: Bacterial small subunit ribosomal RNA
Source: RNAcentral